UGAAACAUUUAAAUCUCAUUGUUAUCCUAAC
RNAcentral lists this non-coding RNA (31 nucleotides) under Rattus norvegicus (Norway rat). Lineage: Eukaryota; Metazoa; Chordata; Mammalia; Rodentia; Muridae. The record is from RNAcentral.